UACGGAGGGUGCAAACGUUGCUCGGAAUCAUUGGGCGUAAAGCGCACGUAGGUGGCCUGUUAAGUCGGGUGUGAAAUCCCUGGGCUCAACCCAGGAAGUGCACUCGAAACUGGCAGGCUUGAGUACUGAAGAGGGUCGCGGAAUUCCCGGUGUAGAGGUGAAAUUCGUAGAUAUCGGGAGGAACACCAGUGGCGAAGGCGGCGACCUGGGCAGAUACUGACACUGUGGUGCGAAAGCGUGGGGAGCAAACAGG
This 253-nucleotide ribosomal RNA is filed under the name uncultured bacterium. Its description in RNAcentral is "partial 16S ribosomal RNA". It matches the Rfam family "Bacterial small subunit ribosomal RNA", at positions 524 to 776 of the family's 1533-position model. The record is from RNAcentral.